CGAUGAACCACAUUCGGUGGGGAUUAGUGGCGAACGGGUGAGUAACACGUGGGCAAUCUGCCCUGCACUCUGGGACAAGCCCUGGAAACGGGGUCUAAUACCGGAUACUGAUCACUGCAGGCAUCUGUGGUGUUCGAAAGCUCCGGCGGUGCAGGAUGAGCCCGCGGCCUAUCAGCUUGUUGGUGAGGUAAUGGCUCACCAAGGCGACGACGGGUAGCCGGCCUGAGAGGGCGACCGGCCACACUGGGACUGAGACACGGCCCAGACUCCUACGGGAGGCAGCAGUGGGGAAUAUUGCACAAUGGGCGCAAGCCUGAUGCAGCGACGCCGCGUGAGGGAUGACGGCCUUCGGGUUGUAAACCUCUUUCAGCAGGGAAGAAGCGAAAGUGACGGUACCUGCAGAAGAAGCGCCGGCUAACUACGUGCCAGCAGCCGCGGUAAUACGUAGGGCGCGAGCGUUGUCCGGAAUUAUUGGGCGUAAAGAGCUCGUAGGCGGCUUGUCACGUCGGUUGUGAAAGCCCGGGGCUUAACCCCGGGUCUGCAGUCGAUACGGGCAGGCUAGAGUUCGGUAGGGGAGAUCGGAAUUCCUGGUGUAGCGGUGAAAUGCGCAGAUAUCAGGAGGAACACCGGUGGCGAAGGCGGAUCUCUGGGCCGAUACUGACGCUGAGGAGCGAAAGCGUGGGGAGCGAACAGGAUUAGAUACCCUGGUAGUCCACGCCGUAAACGGUGGGCACUAGGUGUGGGCAACAUUCCACGUUGUCCGUGCCGCAGCUAACGCAUUAAGUGCCCCGCCUGGGGAGUAC
RNAcentral lists this ribosomal RNA (803 nucleotides) under Streptomyces sp. Its description in RNAcentral is "bacterial SSU rRNA". It matches the Rfam family "Bacterial small subunit ribosomal RNA", at positions 67 to 883 of the family's 1533-position model. The record is from RNAcentral. Lineage: Bacteria; Bacillati; Actinomycetota; Actinomycetes; Kitasatosporales; Streptomycetaceae.